UGCAUUCGUUUGCAUUAAAUGCAUUUUUCGACAUUCACAUCAACUUAACCAUGGCGUUUGCCAACAUAUCAAUCUAUAGCAACGCGUAAUUGUUUGUUGUGAAAAUUCGGAAUUGUCGCACUCUUUCCAAUAUCGUUAAGAACAGGUCUAGAUACAGCUAUUUUUUAGACUAGGAAAAAAACAUUGUGUUGACUGUUGAGGAAUACUGAGCUUGCUUCCCAAUAGGAACGGAACUAGUCAAAAGCAUGAAGACCGAAACUCUUGCCGGAAACCCACAGCCUUUAGGAUUUCCUAAAAAAUACAUUAGCCCCACUGAGCUGAAAACAUCCUUACGUGGUUGAGUGGAUUUGCUUGAAAUUGAAGUAUUUUAAAAUAUGAGAAAGAACAAGAAAAAACUCCGAACAAUA
Molecule: long non-coding RNA, 407 nt
Organism: Aedes aegypti (yellow fever mosquito)
Lineage: Eukaryota; Metazoa; Arthropoda; Insecta; Diptera; Culicidae
Exons: 2
Source: RefSeq, a predicted model, not a curated record